UACGUAGGGGGCAAGCGUUGUCCGGAUUUAUUGGGCGUAAAGAGCGUGUAGGCGGCCUGAAAGGUCAGCUGUGAAAACUCGAGGCUCAACCUCGAGACGUCGGUUGAAACCAUCUGGCUAGAGUCCGGAAGAGGAGUGUGGAAUUCCCGGUGUAGCGGUGAAAUGCGCAGAUAUCGGGAAGAACACCCGUGGCGAAGGCGGCACUCUGGGACGGUACUGACGCUGAGACGC
This 231-nucleotide ribosomal RNA is filed under the name uncultured bacterium. RNAcentral's name for it is "partial 16S ribosomal RNA". It matches the Rfam family "Bacterial small subunit ribosomal RNA", at positions 524 to 754 of the family's 1533-position model. The record is from RNAcentral.